UGUAACAACGGUUCACGUUCGAUCACCGAAGUUAAGCAACGUCGAGUCUGUUCAGUACCUAGAUGGGUUGCCACUUGAGAACACCAGUUGCUU
Acanthosepion pharaonis is the source of this 93-nucleotide non-coding RNA. NCBI's taxonomy places the organism in Eukaryota, Metazoa, Mollusca, Cephalopoda, Sepiida, Sepiidae. The record is from the annotation of a GenBank genome assembly.